This 65-nucleotide transfer RNA is filed under the name Acnemia nitidicollis. RNAcentral's name for it is "tRNA-Gly". The record is from RNAcentral. Lineage: Eukaryota; Metazoa; Arthropoda; Insecta; Diptera; Mycetophilidae.
AUUUAUAUAGUAUAAUUAGUAUAUAUAACUUCCAAUUAUAAGGUUUAAAAAUUUUAAUAUAAAUA